This 1591-nucleotide long non-coding RNA is filed under the name Equus caballus (horse). RNAcentral's name for it is "lncRNA (ENSECAG00000051576.1)". The record is from RNAcentral. Lineage: Eukaryota; Metazoa; Chordata; Mammalia; Perissodactyla; Equidae.
AUGAGAUAAAUGCAGGUUUCUUCCUCAUUGGAGCCAGUCGAGGAGUCAUCCUGAAUCCUCUCCCUCCAGCUGCCCUCACCUCCAGGUCCUGCUUCUGCCUGGUGAGUCAUCUCAGCUGAGGCUCCUCCUCCAUCUACCAGAUCUUCCCCACGGCUGCCAGGCUAUCUUUCCAAAACCCAGAUAGGAUGGAGCUCCUCCUGCUCUCGAAUCCUUCGGGGCUCCCACACCAACCUCCUGGUGUGGCUACAGAACCCUUCACGUUUGGGCCCCAACCUUACUUCCUGCCACGCCCCCCACCCACUCUACACAGAACUCAUUGGCUCGGACGUGCAGGCCUCUGAGCCUUUGCACACACAGAUCCCUCCACCUGGAAUAAUACCCUUUCCACCUUCUCUGCCUGGUGAACCCCUCCGACCCAGCAUAAAAUGCCGACUGCUCUAGGAACACGUCCUAAAGAACUGAAAGCAGGGACUCGAGCAGAUAUUUGUGCACACGUGUUCAGAGCAGCGUCGUUCACAAUAGCCAAACGGUGGAAACCACCCAAGUGUCCAUCAACAGACGGAUGGAUAAACGAAAUGUGGGCUAUCCAUACAGUGGAAUAUUACUCAUCCAGACUAAAGAUUGAGAUUUCGAUGCUACAACAUAGAGGGACCUCAAAAACAUUAUGCUUAAUGAAGUAAGCCAGACACAGAAGGGCAAAAUAUUAUAUGAUUCUACUUAUAAGAGGUAGCUAGAAUAGGCAAAUUCAUAGAGGCCCAAAGUAGGACAGAGGUUUCCGGGGCUGGGAGGGGGCGUUACAGGGACUUAGUGUUCACUGGGCAGAGUUUCUGUCGGGGAGGAUGAAAAGUUUUGUGUAUAGAAAGUAUAAAUACAACAGCAUUGUAAAUGCAUUUAGUUUCACUGAACUAUACACUUACGAAUGGUUAAAAUGGUAAAUAUUAUGCUAUGUAUGCUUUACCAUAAUUUUUUAAAAACUCUAAAAAAGACAUGCCAGUGGCUCUGAGGCAUCUCCUUUAACUUCCCGGAGAUGAUCGGUUCUUCCCUUCUCUGUUGUCCAUUCGGAAUCUUUCCGUGGUACUCGCUUGCUGAAUUGUACUUUAAAUGUCCGUUACACGUCCGUCCCCUGGCAGACGGGGAGAACCCGGAGGGCAGGGGCUCACCUUUGUCAUCUCAGGCUUUCCCCCAGCACAGUGUCUGGCACAGAAUAGCUGUCAGGAAAUGUUUAUUGGAUGGAAAACAUAAGAACUCUGUGCUAUGGACUGAACUGCGUGCCCCCCAAAUCCGUAUGUUGAGGCUCUGACCGCCACUGUGCCUUUUUUUGGAGAUGAGGCCUUUCCAGAAGGAAUUAACGUUAAAUAAGGUCCUAAGGGUGGGGCCCUGAUCUGAGAGUGUCAGUGUCCUUAUAAAAGAGGAAGAGAUGCCAGAGAGCGAGCUCUCUCCACUCUGUGGGGACACAGUGACAACGUGGCUGGAAGAGUCCGCAUCAGGAUCUGAAUUUUCCAGCACCUUGAUCUUGGACAUUCCAGCCUCCAGAACUGUGAGAUAUAGAUGUUGUUUCAACCCCCCAGUCAUUGGUAUUUUGUCAUUGCAG